CCCGGUGACCAGCAGUUGUGGACCGACCCGUUCCCAUUCCGAACACGGCCGUCAAACGCAACAUUACCGAUGGUAGUGGUUGUUGAGCUUCCGCGAGAGUAGGUUGUUGCCGGGG
This 115-nucleotide ribosomal RNA is filed under the name Verrucomicrobiia bacterium. Lineage: Bacteria; Pseudomonadati; Verrucomicrobiota; Verrucomicrobiia. The record is from RNAcentral.